UAAAAAGAAAUAAAGAACAACACGCAUGUUUGAUUCUUCUUCUCAAAAGAACGCAGCUCGAAAACAUAAAAUCCCAAAUUGAUUCUUGUUCUUAUAUUGGUUCAUCCCCAAAUUGAAUCUACUUCUCAAAAUCAAUUCCGGUCGAAAAGAAAACACAAACUGGCGCAUGAUUCUGCUCACAAACUAAACCCUAAUUCGUUUCGUUGUGUUGAUUGUGCUCACAAACUCAGAAAUUGAUUCUUCUCCCUAAACUCAUGAACCCUAAUCCGUUCAGUUGUUGACCUGAGAAAGAUGAAGAAACGCGAUUCAUUCCAAGAAAGCAACAAACCCCAGCCUCAUUAAAAGAAACGCGAUUCCUUCACUACGUGCUUUUCGUCUCGACAAAACGCUAUUCUUUCCUUUCGUUCCGACAUCUAUUCUGGCAAGGUACUCACACUUUGAUUCAUUUUCAAAUCUUAUAUGGGAGGAGAGAAGGGUAGAAAACUCGUUGUUUGUUAUUAGGUGGAGAAUGUGGUUCUCUGCAAGGGGUUUCUCUUUUGCACUAGUUUGUUAUUAAUCCGUAAUAAAGUUUCUAUUAUGCCAUCUUAGGCUAAUGUAAUUUUGAACGGGAGAUGUUUAGAUAAACAGUUUAAUUUUUAUUCAAUAAGCACUUAUUGUGUAAGUGCUUAUGUAUAUCUAUAAUGAGAAAAAAAAAUGAUGGUCACAUAAAAUUCUGAACAAGCUUUUUGAUCAACUGUACUAGGGAGUUUAGUAAACUAAACUUUAACUUGGAUAAUUUUGAAGUAUUUUCUAGCUAUGUCUAAGAAAUAAGAAUAGUGAAACAUUUAUGCUUGUAUUCAAUUUUUUUGGUGGUGCAUAUUGUGUGAAGUUGACGGAGGAGUUUGUCGGGGAUUGGUGGGAGUGAUUUAGGGGAUUUGGGUGAUUGGAGUAUUUUGGAGAGGUGUUAUAUGGAAAGAAUGUUGGUGGCUAAGAUUGCUAUUAGGAGGAGGAGGUUUACAGUCAUGGUGCUGAAGGUGACAUAUCUUCUAUUCGGAGAUUCUUUACAAUUUAGAAAUGCAAAUGUUUUAUUUGUUACCAUUUUUAAUUUAUAGAUUUGGAGCUAUAGAUUUCUAUGGUGCAUAGACAUAUCGAAACAAUUGCUUGAUUGCUGUUGAUGUGCUUACAGGUUUGUCGUCAAGUUGAUUACACCAGUGUCUGUGUUUUUUGCCUUUUGAUAUCAUUAACUCUUGCAGUAAAAACUGUUGACUAGCGAGUAUGUGGCAAAUUGCAAAAUAAUAUGCAACAGGUAGUUUGAGUUUGUAUCAUUUUGAUUCAUGCUAUAAUAUCUAUGAGAAUUCUGCAUAAUUGGUACUGAUUAAGAUGCCUAUACUGAUUUGAGAUGAUUGAUUCUAUGAUCAUCUUUGUUAAAGAAUCAAGUAUUGUUGAACUUCAUAAGGGUACUUUUAAUGUGUUCUCAAUUUAAUUUUUAUGUUCAAAUUUCAGAACCAUUGAAGAUUGCUAUAGAUACAUAUCCAAUUAACUCCUAUUAUAUAGUAUAAUCUCCUUUGUUUUUUAUUUUCUUCAUGUGUAUUAAUAUAUAAAAGGUUUGUUUUGACAAUGAAUAAUAACAGGUUGGAUUCAUUGUGGAUUUUAUAGCAUGCUGCAAUUGUGAUUCGUCUUCAACAGUUGAAGGGACUCGCUGCCACGCUACACCACUAUAGCGCGCAAUUAACAACACAGACCUGACUGAUUAAUAGCGUCAUGGCAAAGACAAGGUCUAAUAGUUUAUAAAAUCUUGACUUAAUUUUUUCUUCUUUUUCUUCCUCUUGAAGAUAUUAUGUUUCGUUCUUUUUCUUUUUCUUGUGAUCCUGCUGUUUUAAGAUCAGGCAAAGCUCAUGUCUUAGUCUAUGGAAUGUAAGGAACAAUAGCUGAGGUAAAGCUUUAACUUGUCUAUAUGGUACCUCAAUUCUUACUUACAAUAUCCUUAAUUAAUUUGUUUUCUGCUUCUGCAUUGUUUUACUUUUUUGUUUUGGUUUUUUACAUCUUUUUUUUGUUUAUCCUUUUAUGUUAAGAGAGUCUGAAAGUAAAGCUUUCACUCGAGCCGAAAGCUGAAAAAUGCUUUACAUGGAAUGGUCUAGAGUUAAGAGUAAAAUAAUCUGAUG
RNAcentral lists this long non-coding RNA (2141 nucleotides) under Trifolium pratense (red clover). RNAcentral describes it as "long non-coding RNA (TPRA_LNC007537)". Lineage: Eukaryota; Viridiplantae; Streptophyta; Magnoliopsida; Fabales; Fabaceae. The record is from RNAcentral.